RNAcentral lists this ribosomal RNA (761 nucleotides) under uncultured Enterobacteriaceae bacterium. Its description in RNAcentral is "bacterial SSU rRNA". It matches the Rfam family "Bacterial small subunit ribosomal RNA", at positions 746 to 1515 of the family's 1533-position model. Lineage: Bacteria; Pseudomonadati; Pseudomonadota; Gammaproteobacteria; Enterobacterales; Enterobacteriaceae. The record is from RNAcentral.
CUCAGGUGCGAAAGCGUGGGGAGCAAACAGGAUUAGAUACCUGGUAGUCACGCUGUAAACGAUGUCGAUUUGGAGGUUGUGCUGACGUGGCUUCGGAGCUAACGCGUUAAAUCGACCGCGUGGGGAGUACGGCCGCAAGGUUAAAACUCAAAUGAAUUGACGGGGGCCCGCACAAGCGGUGGAGCAUGUGGUUUAAUUCGAUGCAACGCGAAGAACCUUACCUACUCUUGACAUCCAGAGAACUUUCCAGAGAUGGAUUGGUGCCUUCGGGAACUCUGAGACAGGUGCUGCAUGGCUGUCGUCAGCUCGUGUUGUGAAAUGUUGGGUUAAGUCCCGCAACGAGCGCAACCCUUAUCCUUUGUUGCCAGCGGUUAGGCCGGGAACUCAAAGGAGACUGCCAGUGAUAAACUGGAGGAAGGUGGGGAUGACGUCAAGUCAUCAUGGCCCUUACGAGUAGGGCUACACACGUGCUACAAUGGCAUAUACAAAGAGAAGCGACCUCGCGAGAGCAAGCGGACCUCAUAAAGUAUGUCGUAGUCCGGACUGGAGUCUGCAACUCGACUCCAUGAAGUCGGAAUCGCUAGUAAUCGUAGAUCAGAAUGCUACGGUGAAUACGUUCCCGGGCCUUGUACACACCGCCCGUCACACCAUGGGAGUGGGUUGCAAAAGAAGUAGGUAGCUUAACCUUCGGGAGGGCGCUUACCACUUUGUGAUUCAUGACUGGGGUGAAGUCGUAACAAGGUAACCAAGGGCGAAUUCUG